RNAcentral lists this ribosomal RNA (496 nucleotides) under uncultured bacterium. RNAcentral's name for it is "bacterial SSU rRNA". It matches the Rfam family "Bacterial small subunit ribosomal RNA", at positions 24 to 507 of the family's 1533-position model. The record is from RNAcentral.
UCAGGAUGAACGCUAGCUACAGGCUUAACACAUGCAAGUCGAGGGGAAACGAUAGAGAAAGCUUGCUUUUUCUAGGCGUCGACCGGCGCACGGGUGAGUAACGCGUAUCCAACCUGCCCACCACUUGGGGAUAACCUUGCGAAAGUAAGACUAAUACCCAAUGACGUCUCUAGAAGACAUCUGAAAGAGAUUAAAGAUUUAUCGGUGAUGGAUGGGGAUGCGUCUGAUUAGCUUGUUGGCGGGGUAACGGCCCACCAAGGCGACGAUCAGUAGGGGUUCUGAGAGGAAGGUCCCCCACAUUGGAACUGAGACACGGUCCAAACUCCUACGGGAGGCAGCAGUGAGGAAUAUUGGUCAAUGGACGAGAGUCUGAGCCAGCCAAGUAGCGUGCAGGAUGACGGCCCUAUGGGUUGUAAACUGCUUUUAUAAGGGAAUAAAGUGAGUCUCGUGAGACUUUUUGCAUGUACCUUAUGAAUAAGGACCGGCUAAUUCCGUG